UACCCAGGACACUGAUAGAGAAAGAAGCACUGCCACUGUGGACAUGUCAUCUGUAAACAUUUCAAACUUUGCAGAUGGUUCUGCCUAACUGGGAGUAAAAAUUCCAGGCUCCAAAUUUCUUUACCCCAGAUAUUAAUUUUCUUGACAUUCUCUCUGGCCAAGCAGGUAUUUUCCCAGCUCUGGUCUAGGGAGAAGAGGGAGAGCCAAAGCCUGGAGAAAUGGGCCCUCUUGCCUCUCUCCUGCCACAGCUGCCACCUCUUCUCAUAAGAGGGCAGCGGUUACCAAGAAAGGCAACUCUCCUUUCUUUUUAAGCUCUCAGCUCAGCUGUAACAAAGAUAUCUUGUAGCUUUCCCCAGAUAUUGACUAUUGUAAAUGACUCUCUUCUGAAGUCAUUUAGUUGAGUAACAGUUAAAUCUAAUGGCAAGUUUGUAAUCUAAUGGGAAGAUACAAUCCAUUUGUAGUGAACAUGAAUGUAUAAGCACCCAGGUUAGGCACCAUGCCCUGCAGGGGUAGUAAUGUAAUUCAGCCCCUGCAUAUCUUUACCACCACAUUUCGUGCCAUGUCCUUUUAGCUAACUGGCCUCCAGCCAUGCUUACAGCUGCUUGAAGAUCUUUACCCUUACUCUUCCUUCUACCCAUUAUGGAGUAAUCCCAUUAUCUGAGGGCCCUGUGCUUUUCGUUGCUGUAUUCCCAGAACAUCUGGGCACACAGUAAAUACUUCCUUCAAUAAAUUAAAAAAAAAAAAGAAGAAAUAGUUCACUAUAAUCUAAGUUCCCCCAAGGGCAAGGAUCAUUUGCCAUUGUAGUAUUAGAAUCUAAUGCAAUGCCUGGCACAUAAUGGGAAAAUUUGUAAUUCUUACUGAAUAAAAGAAGGAAU
RNAcentral lists this long non-coding RNA (875 nucleotides) under Marmota monax (woodchuck). The record is from RNAcentral. Lineage: Eukaryota; Metazoa; Chordata; Mammalia; Rodentia; Sciuridae.